AGUGAACGCUGGCGGUAGGCCUAACACAUGCAAGUCGAACGGCAGCACAGUAAGAGCUUGCUCUUACGGGUGGCGAGUGGCGGACGGGUGAGGAAUACAUCGGAAUCUACUUUUUCGUGGGGGAUAACGUAGGGAAACUUACGCUAAUACCGCAUACGACCUACGGGUGAAAGCAGGGGAUCUUCGGACCUUGCGCGAUUGAAUGAGCCGAUGUCGGAUUAGCUAGUUGGCGGGGUAAAGGCCCACCAAGGCGACGAUCCGUAGCUGGUCUGAGAGGAUGAACCGCCAACCUGGAAACGGAGCACGGGCCCAACUCCCUAGGGGGGGAGGAGGGGGGAAAAUUGGGAAAUGGGGGGAAAGCCGAUCCCGGCCAACCCGGGGGGGUGAAGAAGGCUUCCGGUUGGAAAAGCCUUUUGGUGGGGAAAAAAAGGCGGAAGGUAAAUACCCGGUGGUCCGACGGGAACCAAAAGAAUAAGCACCGGCAACUUCGUU
This 492-nucleotide ribosomal RNA is filed under the name uncultured bacterium. RNAcentral describes it as "partial 16S ribosomal RNA". It matches the Rfam family "Bacterial small subunit ribosomal RNA", at positions 30 to 507 of the family's 1533-position model. The record is from RNAcentral.